Molecule: ribosomal RNA, 497 nt
Filed under: uncultured bacterium
Lineage: Bacteria
Description: partial 16S ribosomal RNA
Rfam family: Bacterial small subunit ribosomal RNA
Source: RNAcentral
GAUGAACGAGGGCGGCGUGCCUAAUACAUGCAAGUCGAGCGAACAGACGAGGAGCUUGCUCCUCUGACGUUAGCGGCGGACGGGUGAGUAACACGUGGAUAACCUACCUAUAAGACUGGGAUAACUUCGGGAAACCGGAGCUAAUACCGGAUAAUAUAUUGAACCGCAUGGUUCAAUAGUGAAAGACGGUUUUGCUGUCACUUAUAGAUGGAUCCGCGCCGCAUUAGCUAGUUGGUAAGGUAACGGCUUACCAAGGCAACGAUGCGUAGCCGACCUGAGAGGGUGAUCGGCCACACUGGAACUGAGACACGGUCCAGACUCCUACGGGAGGCAGCAGUAGGGAAUCUUCCGCAAUGGGCGAAAGCCUGACGGAGCAACGCCGCGUGAGUGAUGAAGGUCUUCGGAUCGUAAAACUCUGUUAUUAGGGAAGAACAAAUGUGUAAGUAACUAUGCACGUCUUGACGGUACCUAAUCAGAAAGCCACGGCUAACUACGUG